CCCCUAUUUUCGCCGACGCAGACGCAUUACGUAAGAGCUCGUAGGCGGUUUGUCGCGUCUGCCGUGAAAGUCCGGGGCCAACUCCGGAUCUGCGGUGGGUACGGGCAGACUAGAGUGAUGUAGGGGAGACUGGAAUUCCUGGUGUAGCGGUGAAAUGCGCAGAUAUCAGGAGGAACACCGAUGGCGAAGGCAGGUCUCUGGGCAUUAACUGACGCUGAGGAGCGAAAGCAUGGGGAGCGAACAGGAUUAGAUACCCUGGUAGUCCAUGCCGUAAACGUUGGGCACUAGGUGUGGGGGACAUUCCACGUUUUCCGCGCCGUAGCUAACGCAUUAAGUGCCCCGCCUGGGGAGUACGGCCGCAAGGCUAAAACUCAAAGGAAUUGACGGGGGCCCGCACAAGCGGCGGAGCAUGCGGAUUAAUUCGAUGCAACGCGAAGAACCUUACCAAGGCUUGACAUGGACUGGAAAUACCUGGAAACAGGUGCCCCGCUUGCGGUCGGUUCACAGGUGGUGCAUGGUUGUCGUCAGCUCGUGUCGUGAGAUGUUGGGUUAAGUCCCGCAACGAGCGCAACCCUCGUUCUAUGUUGCCAGCGCGUGAUGGCGGGGACUCAUAGGAGACUGCCGGGGUCAACUCGGAGGAAGGUGGGGACGACGUCAAAUCAUCAUGCCCCUUAUGUCUUGGGCUUCACGCAUGCUACAAUGGCCGGUACAAAGGGUUGCGAUACUGUGAGGUGGAGCUAAUCCCAAAAAGCCGGUCUCAGUUCGGAUUGGGGUCUGCAACUCGACCCCAUGAAGUCGGAGUCGCUAGUAAUCGCAGAUCAGCAACGCUGCGGUGAAUACGUUCCCGGGCCUUGUACACACCGCCCGUCAAGUCACGAAAGUUGGUAACACCCGAAGCCGGUGGCCUAACCCCCUUGUGGGGAGGGAGCUGUCGAAGGUGGGACUGGCGAUUGGGACUAAGUCGUAACAAGGUAGCCGUACA
This 982-nucleotide ribosomal RNA is filed under the name Arthrobacter sp. PON13. RNAcentral's name for it is "bacterial SSU rRNA". It matches the Rfam family "Bacterial small subunit ribosomal RNA". The record is from RNAcentral. Lineage: Bacteria; Bacillati; Actinomycetota; Actinomycetes; Micrococcales; Micrococcaceae.